Non-coding RNA from Arachis ipaensis, 1611 nucleotides. Lineage: Eukaryota; Viridiplantae; Streptophyta; Magnoliopsida; Fabales; Fabaceae. The record is from RefSeq and is a predicted model, not a curated record.
CAUAUCACAGAAGGAAAAAAAAAGGGGGAACAGAGAAGAAGCAAAGGGAAACGAGAAACUGAGGAAAGGGAGAAGAGGGAUCAGGGAAGCACCACGAAGAACAGAGAGACGUGCACGAUCGACGGAGAAGGUAGCAUUGCCACCGUGCCUCAUCAUCAUCGCUGAAGCUCUCCUUGCCACUAUCAACGCCAUUUAGGGCAGAAGAGAAGAGGAAGAAUGACAGAGAAAAGAGAUUGGAGCUGCUACAGGAACGGCGGUUCCUGCUUCUAACCUCUGCUCUUUUGAUUUCUGGAGCUACCGUGGGUGGAGCUUGUCAUCAAAGGAAGCAAGCUGCCGCCACCAACUCUUAAUUAAGCCAGUAUCCUCCUCUUUGUUCUGAUUCAAAUUUUCCCAUUUUUGAAACCCCCCUUUUUGGCUCCUAUUCCCUGCUACAAUUAGGUUGAGUGUUGAAGUUGGUGCUGCCAUGGGACGGUUGAAGCUGUUACUGAUUCUGAAUUUGCUAUCUGGUUCUUGCUUUGUCUUGAAUCCCUAGAGCUGAAAUUGCUUUUGAUUCCUAUCCAAUUUGAAUCCUCUAUUUUACUGCAACCAUGGUCAGUGCUGCGAAGGCUAAUGUUGUUGCUGUUCCGGUUGUGGUUGCGUGAGAGUUACUGCUGCUGCCCUGAAACUAAAAGAGAAGAGAGUUGUUACGUUAAAGUAUGCGAUUGCGACAUCGAGGUAGAGGGUUUAAAACGAUUUCAAUUUAAGAAUGCCUACAAGGUUUAUUGAAUAACUACAAAUAGAUUUAAUAGAUGUGAGUAAUUGAUUGAUUAUGUGAAUAUUGAAUCGUGGCUAAAAUUGUGAUUGGAAUGGUUGAGAUUGUGAUUUGGAAUUGUUGAUUGGUGAUAUUGAUUGAUUAUGUAGAUUGGGAAUAGUUUGAUGACUUAUUGUUGAGAAUUACUAAAUUUUAAUGGGUCAUGUUGGAUUUGUUGCUGUUGAGCUAUUAUUUGGUAUAUUGUAAUGUUAAUGAGCUUGGUUGGUGGUUGAUUUGGAAUUGGUUUUGAGGGGUAUUGAAGAAUUGGAUUUUGAACACUAAAUGGUUUGCUGAAAAUCAGGUUCUCUUGAAAUUAAACGGCAACUUUGAAAGUGAAUCAGUGACUCUAUAAUGACUGAAAUGAUAAGCAUUUAAGUGUUAAUGAAAUUAUAUUAAGUGUAAUUGUGAAAACUCAAUUUUGAAGGUUUCGUAUCAACUAAAGAAUUAGUUAUGAUCUUUCAAAGUUGAAUUCUAAAAUCUGAUUUUCUGCAUAAUUUCUAAACUGAGUCAGCAACUUUGAAAAGCUAUAACUAAUUCUGUGAUUAUCGAAAUUGCGUGGAACCACGUCCGGAUUAAACUUGGGGAUACAAGGAACUAAACUGGUGAAUUUGAGACUUUUUUAUUAAGUUUAUGAUUUAUGGUGAAUUUUUGAAUUAGGGAUGUCAAAUCUGGUUUUUCUGCAGAACGUUUAACACAGUAGCAAUUUGUUUCCUCUAUUAAAAUUUCUGCAGCUUGAAUUUUGAAUUGGAACAAAUUUUAAAUGAAACUUUGGUCCUAAUACUUUAAUUUCAUAAAAAUUUAGAAUUGUUAGAGUUGUGGUU